This 1069-nucleotide long non-coding RNA is filed under the name Zonotrichia albicollis (white-throated sparrow). Its description in RNAcentral is "lncRNA (ENSZALG00000000582.1)". The record is from RNAcentral. Lineage: Eukaryota; Metazoa; Chordata; Aves; Passeriformes; Passerellidae.
CUAAUCCACCAAUCGUGAGGCAUUUUUUAAACAGCACACAGGCAAAGCUAAGGGAAAAUCCUUUAGUUUUGAUCAGAAACCCAGAGACAGGACAAAUAGAGGGUCCUUUACAACUAAUCACUUGGGGCAACGGUUUCGCUUGUGUUUCCACAGAUCGAGGUCUGAAGUGGGUGUCUGCAUGACACGUAAAGCCAUUCCGAACGCGAGAACAGGAGAACGCUGAUCCGAGAAACAGAGAUGAGUACUCAGGCAGAAGUCAAGACAGACUGCAAAAGACGACUCGGAAGAGAAAUAAAAAGAACUAAAGACUUUGGGGAUUUCUCUUUGGGGUCUUGAGUGAAAACAUAACAAUGAUUUCGCACGAAAGUGAGGUCAUGAGCUUCACGAUGCUCAGGUGCAUCAUUCUUUCAUUCAUUGCAAUAGGUAAUGGGGAAAAUUUACCUAUUAAUCAACCAAAACAAAAUGUAUGGGAGGCUUUAGCUCAAGCAGCGAAUUUGGAUAGUAUUUGCCUGACACAUUCGAGGACAGGGAGACCAUUUUCAGUAUGCAUGGUUGGAUUGCCAGUGGACGAAUGGCCAAUUCCAGGGCACUCCGCAGUUAACAUCUCGCAGGUCAUUAAAGAUCCUGUGAAGGGGUGGUGUGCUUGGACACAUCUUCUUCCUGUGGCUUCUACAGAACCUCAGGAAUUGGAGAUUUUUGGGUCCUUGACAAUGGAGCUCUGCAUGCAGUUUGAAACUCCAAAUGUCACAAAGGCAAACAAAACUAUCGAUGUGACUCCCAAUCAUGAAUUCUAUAAAAAUGCAUCAGCUUGGUGUAAAUACAGAGAGAAAACUGCCAGAGGAUCAAUCCAAGUCCCAGUGCAAUUGCCACGGGGUUUGUUUCUAAUUUGCGGGGACAGAAUUUGGCACGGCAUUCCUGCUAAUGCCAGGGGAGGUCCAUGCAGCAUUGGGAAAAUUUCAGUGUUGUUGCCAGAUUUGAAAUCGCUAAGAGAGAAAAAGCACAAAGAAAAAAGAUCAUUGGAACAUAUUGCGGCAGAUUGCAACGACAAAAUAUAUACUUGGGACAAGGC